This 459-nucleotide ribosomal RNA is filed under the name uncultured bacterium. Its description in RNAcentral is "partial 16S ribosomal RNA". It matches the Rfam family "Bacterial small subunit ribosomal RNA", at positions 338 to 795 of the family's 1533-position model. The record is from RNAcentral.
CAGACGGGAGGCAGAAGGGAGGAAGAGGGGGAAAGGGGAGGAAGAGGGAAGCAGCCAAGGAGCGUGCGGGAUGAAGGCCCUACGGGUCGUAAACCGCUUUUGCACGGGGAUAACACCCUCCACUUGUGGAGGUCUGCAGGUACCGUGCGAAUAAGGGCCGGCUAAUUCCGUGCCAGCAGCCGCGGUAAUACGGAAGGCCCGAGCGUUAUCCGGAUUCAUUGGGCUUAAAGGGAGCGUAGGCGGGCGUUCAAGUCAGCUGUAAAAUCGCGCGGCUCAACCGCGCCCCGCAGUUGAAACUGGACGCCUUGAGUUCACAACAGGCAGGCGGAAUUCGUGGUGUAGCGGUGAAAUGCAUAGAUAUCACGAGGAACCCCGAUUGCGAAGGCAGCCUGCCGGGGUGCGACUGACGCUGAGGCUCGAAGGUGCGGGUAUCAAACAGGAUUAGAUACCCUAGUAGUC